UGCCAGCCGCCGCGGUAAUACGGAGACCUCGAGCGUUACUCGGAUUUACUGGGCGUAAAGGGUGAGCAGGCGGCCAAGUGUGUCAGGUGUGAAAUCCCGGGGCUUAACCCCGGAACUGCGCCUGAAACUACUUGGCUAGAGUCUCGGAGAGGACAGUGGAAUUCUAGGUGUAGCGGUGAAAUGCGUAGAUAUCUAGAGGAACACCAGUGGCGAAGGCGACUGUCUGGACGAGUACUGACGCUCAAUCACGAAAGCGUGGGUAGCGAAAGGGAUUAGAUA
This 279-nucleotide ribosomal RNA is filed under the name uncultured bacterium. RNAcentral's name for it is "partial 16S ribosomal RNA". It matches the Rfam family "Bacterial small subunit ribosomal RNA", at positions 506 to 784 of the family's 1533-position model. The record is from RNAcentral.